AAAAAUGUCUUAUCGCAUAGGUCAUCGGCCUCUGCGAUCCAAAUAUAAUCACCAGUUGCUGCAGAGACUCCUUUUAUCCAUUGUUUAAAUACAGAACCAGAGUUUUUAUCAUUAAUAAUCUGUUGAACCUUCAGGUGGGUCUUAUUUUCUUUUGAAAGCAGCUUUUUAAAAGUUGAUACGCUAUGAUCAGUGGAGGCAUCGUCUAAGAAAAUUAGUUCGUAAAGAGGGUAGGUUUGGUUUAAUAUUGAUUCGAUUCGAUCAGGUAAGUAUUUUUCAUAAUUAUAGUUCGGUAUGAUUACACUUAUCUUUUUGUAAUUAUGUUCGAGAAGAUCUAGUAAUUGAUAAAUGUAAUUAAGAAAAUUGAAGUUUUUUUCGAUAAGUUCUUGGCCAAAGCUUCCCUUUUGUAAUCGUAAUCCCUCAUCAUGAAUAAAUUCAUAUAUUUUUUCUAGCAUUUUGGGUAAAUUUAAAAAGUCUACUAAGGCACCAGUUUUUUCUGUAACAACAUCUUCAAAACCUCCAGCAUUUUUAAACCCUAUAACAGGAAGUUUUGCAUCUAAUGCUUCUAAAACAACAUUUGGAAAAGGAUCUUCCCUUGAAGUUAAUAAGUAUAAGUCAGCCCCAGCGUUAUAUAAUCCGAUAUCGGGAGUAGGAUCGACUAAUGUGAAAUGUGCUUUAUAUUUAGGGGGCAGUGUAUUCAGGAAUUGAACGUUUGUUCUCCCUACCCAAAUGAAAUGAAUAUCCUUGUGAGUCUUUCUUACUGAGUAAGAGAUAAGUGAGAAUAAAUCUAUCCCUUUCCGAUAAUCUGCGAAGCCUACACCCAAGAUGAUUUUGCUAUCUAGAGGCAGGUUAAGCUUCUUACGUAACUCAUUUCUAGCUUUUGCAAUAUUGUUCUUAUAAGGAUUGUGGUUAAACAAACCUUGAGGGAGAAUGUGACAUUUUUGAGGAUCCAAUUCAGUGAUUGUACGAAAUUUUUCAUAUACGUAUUGUGAAGGGAAGACAACUUUGUAAGCAAAUUCAGCGAUGUUUUUAGCUUUCCCUUCAGCAGAGUACUGUUGUAUUAAAUGCGGUAAUUCAUGUAUUAAUGAAACAACUUUUAUAUUUUGUCUAGCUAGUAAUGCGACGAUAUCGCCACUUAUGACAGUGCUACAUAUGGCGAGGGUAAAAUUCUGUGAUAAUAAAUCCUUUAUUAAUAAUUCGACCUUUUCUUCUGUUUGAUAACCUUGCUCGAGACAAUAAACAGGACCAUACUUUUGAAAAUCGGGAAUUAAAAUACCGGAUCCAAUAGAAAUAAUUGCAACAGAGUAAUCAAAGUUUUCUUUAAGAGCCUUAAUAGUAUGUAAAGAAAGUAGCUGUGCUCCGUGGAAAUGGGCAUCAUGGGAUACAUAAAUUAUCUUUUUAUUAACAUGCAUUUCAUAACGCCUCCUAAGGGUAUUAGAUUUCUUUCCCUUUUUUAAAGGUAAAGAAGAGAAGUGUUUUAUUUAUAAUCCCCCUAGAGACUGGGAUAACUCCGGGAAACCGGGGCUAAUACCGGAUAACAUUUUGAACCGCAUGGUUCGAAAUUGAAAGGCGGCUUCGGCUGUCACUUAUGGAUGGACCCGCGUCGCAUUAGCUAGUUGGUGAGGUAACGGCUCACCAAGGCAACGAUGCGUAGCCGACCUGAGAGGGUGAUCGGCCACACUGGGACUGAGACACGGCCCAGACUCCUACGGGAGGCAGCAGUAGGGAAUCUUCCGCAAUGGACGAAAGCCUGACGGAGCAACCCCGCGUGAGUGAUGAAGGCUUUCGGGUCGUAAAACUCUGUUGUUAGGGAAGAACAAGUGCUAGUUGAAUAAGCUGGCACCUUGACGGUACCUAACCAGAAAGCCACGGCUAACUACGUGCCAGCAGCCGCGGUAAUACGUAGGUGGCAAGCGUUAUCCGGAAUUAUUGGGCGUAAAGCGCGCGCAGGUGGUUUCUUAAGUCUGAUGUGAAAGCCCACGGCUCAACCGUGGAGGGUCAUUGGAAACUGGGAGACUUGAGUGCAGAAGAGGAAAGUGGAAUUCCAUGUGUAGCGGUGAAAUGCGUAGAGAUAUGGAGGAACACCAGUGGCGAAGGCGACUUUCUGGUCUGUAACUGACACUGAGGCGCGAAAGCGUGGGGAGCAAACAGGAUUAGAUACCCUGGUAGUCCACGCCGUAAACGAUGAGUGCUAAGUGUUAGAGGGUUUCCGCCCUUUAGUGCUGAAGUUAACGCAUUAAGCACUCCGCCUGGGGGGUACGGCCGCAAGGCUGAAACUCAAAGGAAUUGACGGGGGCCCGCACAAGCGGUGGAGCAUGUGGUUUAAUUCGAAGCAACGCGAAGAACCUUACCAGGUCUUGACAUCCUCUGAAAACCCUAGAGAUAGGGCUUCUCCUUCGGGAGCAGAGUGACAGGUGGUGUAUGGUUGUCGUCAGCUCGUGUCGUGAGAUGUUGGGUUAAGUCCCGCAACGAGCGCAACCCUUGAUCUUAGUUGCCAUCAUUAAGUUGGGCACUCUAAGGUGACUGCCGGUGACAAACCGGAGGAAGGUGGGGAUGACGUCAAAUCAUCAUGCCCCUUAUGGCCUGGGCUACACACGUGCUACAAUGGACGGUACAAAGAGCUGCAAGACCGCGAGGUGGAGCUAAUCUCAUAAAACCGUUCUCAGUUCGGAUUGUAGGCUGCAACUCGCCUACAUGAAGCUGGAAUCGCUAGUAAUCGCGGAUCAGCAUGCCGCGGUGAAUACGUUCCCGGGCCUUGUACACACCGCCCGUCACACCACGAGAGUUUGUAACACCCGAAGUCGGUGGGGUAACCUUUUUGGAGCCAGCCGCCUAAGGUGGGACAGAUGAUUGGGGUGAAGUCGUAACAAGGUAGCCGUAUCGGAAGGUGCGGCUGGAUCACCU
RNAcentral lists this ribosomal RNA (2901 nucleotides) under Bacillus thuringiensis serovar indiana. RNAcentral's name for it is "bacterial SSU rRNA". The stretch from base 1383 to 2901 matches the Rfam family "Bacterial small subunit ribosomal RNA". Lineage: Bacteria; Bacillati; Bacillota; Bacilli; Caryophanales; Bacillaceae. The record is from RNAcentral.